GUACAAUGGACAAAUUUGUUUACAAUUUGUUGGAGGAAUGUGGACUGGAGGAGUUCAAGGACGCUUUCUUAGAUGAUGAAGUGACAACAGCUGCUCUGCUGGCACUCCCUUUCAUUUUGCCAAUGGGAACCAGAAAGACGGGCAAAGGCAGGACCACACGGGCUGUCCUUGAUGAUGCAAGGUGGGCACCAACAUUCCACACUACCUAGAAAUUCUACAGCAGAAUCAGCCAUUUGCCCUUAUGUUUGGUAGUGGGGCCACAUGUGAGCAGUCCUUCGUUGUGUUUGAAAGACAGGCUGCACAGUGUAAAUCUGUCUUGCACGCAGUUGACAUGGUGGUAAAGGCAACGUACGUCCUUUGGUGUGACUUUCCAUGGGAGCUGUCUCAUGUAUUUCAAUUCCUGGUUGAGACAGUCUACAAGAUUGAUACAGGGAAGCCUCCAUCAGCUGCGUGCAGGACAAUGCGAGCUUUUCUAUUAAAUAGUGAGCAUUGAAAGGUUUAGGAUUAACUGGGGACUGUAGCCCUUUUGUAAAUCAUACUUUUAACUAUGUGAAAUAUCACUUUGACAGGAAAGGAAAUGUUAUUUUAGAGCUAUCCUGAAAAUUAUAUGCAAUUCUGGUCCCCUUUUCUUGACUUUUAGAGCAAAAAUAAUAAUAAAUGUUCAGCAGGGUGUUUAUUCUCACAUACAGACAGGUGUUAUAAGGGGGGGGGGGGGGAUUUUGCUUGUAUCUCGAAAACUAUGAUUCGUAUGACCGUGGGAUUUCAUACAUAUAACUUUAUUAUCAUUAAUUUGCUAUGUUUACAUCAAAUAUGAAUACAUCUGAGCAUUAAUGCAAAAGGGCUACAGUUCCUUUAAAGGACUAUGAAAGUAUUUCAAUAAAAUAAAGGAAGUUCAGUUACAUUUUGCGCAUGCCCAUGAAAUUGCGUACUUCUGGGUCAUGUCAUUGGAGUACUUAUUUCACUGUUUUUGACGCGAUGUGAACUGAUUAUAUGCGAGGGGUUAGUGCCAGUAUUUUAGGCAGACAGAUCCUCAUAUUUUGUGAAGGAAACGACAUCAAACUGACUCGACGAGCAUGUACUUAAUGCCAUGGAAUUACAUUGUUUUUGUGAACGGAAAUCUGUGGCGUCAUACUUUAGCACCCACAUAAUUACCCUAUUGCUUUGUACACAUAUUAAAAGCCUGAAAUUCAGGACAGUCGGGUGAUUAUAUAUGUAAAGUCAAUUUUACAAAACUUGGUGAAAGUAGUCUAAAAUAACAAAAAUAAAGUACCAAUUUUUUGCACAAAACUCUACGGCACUCGUGAACUUCAAAAUUACGGCCACUAGGUACAACGUCAUUAUCCCCGCCAAGUUUUGGGGAUGACGCAAAAUGCAUUUUUUUUUCAAGAGUGGAACACAAAUCAGUAAAAACAGUUUUAAAGGAUGUAGAAAUUACGUUUGUAAAUGCAUGAAUUUUGCAAGAUAUGUAUAUUCCUCUCCUAUUUAAUUGAUAUUUACAUCUGAAAGCCAUUUAUUUUCUUAAAAUAUCACACCUUAAUAAAGGUACAAUUCAACAUCAUGUCAAACUCUCAAGAGGAUGGGUGGAUUAUAUCAGUUUAAUCAUCUUGGCAAGCCCCACUGCACUACUUGUAGCUACUUGCUCCCUCUAUAUAGAAAACAAUGCCUAAGCGGUGCAUGUUGGUCCCCAUGAUCCUCUUUUUCUUAUGUUAAUUGAGAGCUGAGUUGAUGAGAUAACCACCUGUCAGUGACCAUGCUGGGAGGUCUAAUCCCUCCUGGCCAAACUAGUGCAGAGGGGCUUAAAGAUAGAGCCUUGGGGGAUGCAUUGUUUUACACUGCCGAAUGAUGCAAGGGUAUGCAUAUUAUUAUUACUUUAUUACUGAGAUGUAUGAAUAAUUACCUGGAAGACUAAUUACAGCAAAUUGUAUCUGUAUUAAUUUCAUGGAUCCUAUUCAUUUUAGCCUACUGCGUUAUUAUUCAAGUUCAGGAUUGCAUAAUUUCAAAAGAAAGUGUAGGAAAUUUCCCCUAAGAACAGUGCAAAAAUGAAGAAAAUCGGAUACAAAAUAGUAGUUCUGACAUUUUGAAAAUUCACAUUUUUUCCUCAAACCUUUCUUAGGUAAUGUGCAAGGCUCAGAUCAAGGGUACACUUAGAUUGAACACUGGGAAAUUGUUCAAUUAUCCAAAACCAUGAGACCCAGAAACAAAUUAGCAUUUUUAUAUUACAAAGUAUCAUUUGGGAAAGCUCAAAACAAGGUUUCAGCUUCAUUGAGUUCAAAUUAAAGAUUUUAGAGCAAUUUUAUGAUGAAAAAAGGCCUAUUUUCAGCACUUUUAAUGUUACAUUCAAAACAUGCACUAAUUGGUUACCAGAUUUUUACUAAUGGGAUGCAAAACUUAUGAUUUUUUUUCAUCUUGAUGUAGAAUCUAUGUAAUAAUUAAAAUUUCUGUUGAGUUAAUUCCUAGUAUUUUACUUUCUUAUUCUAUUUACA
Strongylocentrotus purpuratus (purple sea urchin) is the source of this 2483-nucleotide long non-coding RNA. RefSeq lists it as uncharacterized. Lineage: Eukaryota; Metazoa; Echinodermata; Echinoidea; Camarodonta; Strongylocentrotidae. The record is from RefSeq and is a predicted model, not a curated record. The transcript has 3 exons.